Molecule: ribosomal RNA, 330 nt
Filed under: uncultured eukaryote
Lineage: Eukaryota
Description: partial 18S ribosomal RNA
Rfam family: Eukaryotic small subunit ribosomal RNA
Source: RNAcentral
CCCUUAGAUGUUCGGGGCCGCACGCGCGCUACACUGAAGGAAUCAGCACGUCUUUCUCCUUGUCCGAAAGGACUGGGUAACCCGCUGAACUUCCUUCGUGCUAGGGAUUGGGGCUUGUAAUUCUUCCCCAUGAACGAGGAAUUCCCAGUAAGCGCGAGUCAUAAGCUCGCGUUGAUUACGUCCCUGCCCUUUGUACACACCGCCCGUCGCUACUACCGAUUGGAUGGUUUAGUGAGAUCCUCGGAUUGGUCCCGGAGCGGCCUCUGGUCGUGCCGGAGUGCCGAAAAGAAUGUCGAACUUGAUCAUCUAGAGGAAGUAAAAGUCGUAACA